Molecule: non-coding RNA, 54 nt
Organism: Salmo salar (Atlantic salmon)
Lineage: Eukaryota; Metazoa; Chordata; Actinopteri; Salmoniformes; Salmonidae
Source: Rfam
UGCAUUCACUACUGUAAGUCGCUCUGGAUAAGAGCGUCUGCUAAAUGUAAAUGU